AUGGAGUCAGAGAGCCGUGUCUCUGUGCAGUCAGAGGUUUUUGUACGGCGGCUCAGUGACUUUGUAUCACUGUGGCUCACGUUUGGUGGAGGAACCAGACUGGAUGUUGGAAGUGAUGUGCGCCCCGCCCUGAAGGUGCUGGGUCCCUCCAGUGAGGAGCUGCAGCAGGGGAAGGCCACGCUCAUGUGUCUGGCCAACAAGGGCUUCCCCUCAGACUGGAGGCUGUCCUGGAAGAUGGACGGCAGCAGUGGCAGCAUCAGAGGGGAGGAGAGCAGGACUCCCGCAGUGCUGCACAAUGACGGCUGCUACAGCUGGAGCAGCACCCUGACACUCACUGCAGACCAGUGGGGGAAGGUGGGCUCUGUGAGCUGUGAGGCCACCCAGGGCUCCCAGGCUCUGGUCUCAGAGACACUGAGGAGAGACCAGUGUUCCCAGUCCUGAUGUGACUCACUGGGACUCUGAUCCUGUUUUUCUUCAUCUACUGCUCUCUGUGUGCUCCAACUCUCUCUGUCUCUUUCUUUCUUUUUCUUCUCACAUUAAAAGAAAAAAAUCAAAUCAUAAUAUUUUCCAUCUCAUAAGGAUAAAAAAAUGCUAAAAACAAUCUCCUCUAGUUUGAUCCUUUUGUGAUUGUUGUAAAACUGAUAUUUGAACUUUUCAAAAGAAUAAAAAUGUACUGAGUAAACAUGUUCUUUGACUCCCUGAGUUUAACAAAUAUCAAACAUUUUGUAAGAUUUAUUAAGCCGACCAAAAGAAAAAUGGCAGCAGAACACAUUGAGUGUAAUGUUGUGUAAAAUGGUUGAAUUCAUUCUUAUAUCCACAUUUAAUAUAUUUGAUAGAUGCUGAGGCCAUGUCAGUGGCAGAUUAACUCUAAUCUCUUCAUAAUUUCUAGUCUUGAAGCAGUUCUUUGACCUGCAUUUUAUUCUGACCAUGUGAAACAAUCUAUAAUAAAGAUUAAAGAGCAGAGAGUCAUCCCUAUCUUUAAGGAGAGAUCAUUUAAAACAAUUUAAGAUGAUUGAUCAAAGUCUGAUUAAUCAAUUAUUGGGCAAUAAAUGAUUAAACUGUGAUGGAGCCUCACAGCAGGCUGGAGUUUAGACACUGGUGUUGGCAGAGAUGAAGCAGGUGGAGACUUGAAUGAGGAUCUCUGAUUGUCCAGGAUGAGGUGGAGAUGGGGAGGAGGCGGGUCGCACCAAUGAGAGUUUGAAAGGCAGAAUGAAAGAAGAGCGCUGAGAUUUAAAGCACACAGAACAGAAGCUGAUUGGCUCGCAGAAGGAGGGCAAGAAGAUGAUUGGACUCAAGCAAUGAUGACAGAAUUGAUCCUGACAGUGGAAGUGAUGGUUUCA
Non-coding RNA from Archocentrus centrarchus (flier cichlid), 1340 nucleotides. Lineage: Eukaryota; Metazoa; Chordata; Actinopteri; Cichliformes; Cichlidae. The record is from the annotation of a RefSeq genome assembly.